Non-coding RNA from Rattus norvegicus (Norway rat), 2798 nucleotides. The record is from RefSeq and is a predicted model, not a curated record. NCBI's taxonomy places the organism in Eukaryota, Metazoa, Chordata, Mammalia, Rodentia, Muridae.
CCUAACACAGAGUUUCCUCAUUUACUUUUAUACAUUGCUAUUUGCCUAUGGGCAACCUCUGUCUGACUCCUCUGUCUCCAGAGAGAAUCCUUUGUCCUUCCAGAGCAAGUAUCUCUUCCCCUUCACCCUUGUUCAUUUCCCCUUUCUCCCUUUAUUUCCUUCCUGUCUUUGCCUGUGGUUUCCUGCCCUUUGUCUCUCUGAGACAAAUACAUCUCCUUUGAGCUAAAUUUUCAGUCUUCAAGUGUCUUCUGCCAGUACAGGUCCUUCCAGAGACAAUGGAGAAACCUGUAUUACUGACUUGUUCUCCACGGCUUGUUCAGCAUACAGCCCAGGAACACCUGACCAGAGAUGCACAGUGGGCUGCAGCCUCUCACAGCAGUCAUUGAGUAAGAAAAUACCUCCAGGGACAAGCCCACAGGCCUAUCUGAUGGAGCCACCAUCCAGAAUCCAUUGUGCUACCAUCCCUAAUUUGGAGCAGCUCUCUGGAAUGCUUCUUGGAUUUGCUGCCUGCGUCUCUCAACUGAAUUCUUUCCAGAAGACAAGAACUGAAGGUACCCUGUAAUACCAUCAUGCCCAGUAUCACCUAGCCUGACAAAAGUCCCUGUAAAAAAUUAUUUUCCGGGCUCCCGCUCUCACAGCCAUUGCAAUACAUUGAGCUCUAUAGAGACAGCGCCAGGGCAAGCGAGAGCCGGACGGGCACUGGGCGACUCUGUGCCUCGCGGAGGAAAAUCAACUAAACAUGGGCAAAGGAAAUCCUAAGAAGCCAAGAGGCAAAAUGUCCUCACAUGCAUUCUUUUUUUUUUUUUUUUUUUUUUUUUUUUGGUUCUUUUUUUUCGGAGCUGGGGACCGAACACAGGGCCUUGCGCUUCCUAGGUAAGCGCUCUACCCUCAUAUGCAUUCUUUGUGCAAACCUGCCGGGAGGAGCACAAGAAGCACCCGGAUGCUUCUGUCAACUUCUCAGAGUUCUCCAAGAAGUGCUCAGAGAGGUGGAAGACCAUGUCUGCUAAAGAAAAGGGGAAAUUUGAAGAUACGGCAAAGGCUGACAAGGUUCGUUAUGAAAGAGAAAUGAAAACCUACAUCCCCCCUAAAGGGGAAACCAAAAAGAAGUUCAAGGACCCAGUGCCCCCAAGAGGCCUCCUUCGGCCUCUUCUUGUUCUGUUCUGAGUACCGCACAAAAAUCAAAGGCGAGCAUCCUGGCUUAUCCAUUGGUGAUGUUGUGAAGAAACUAGGAGAGAUGUGGAACAACACUGCCGCGGAUGACAAGCAGCCCUGUGAGAAGAUGGCCGCCAAGCUGAAGGAGAAGUACGAGAAGGAUAUUGCUGCCUACAGAGCUAAAGGAAAACCUGAUGCAGCGAAAAAGGGGGUGGUCAAGGCUGAGAAGAGCAAGAAAAAGAAGGAAGAGGAAGACGACGAGGAGGAUGAAGAGGAUGAGGAAGAGGAGGAAGAAGAGGAAGACGAAGAAGAAGAUGAUGAUGAAUAAGUUGGUUCUAGCGCAGUUUUUUUUUUUCUUGUCUAUAAAACAUUUAACCCCCCUGUACACAACUCACUCCUUUUAAAGAGAAAAAUUGAAAUGUAAGGCUGUGUAAGAUUUGUUUUUAAACUGUACAGUGUCUUUUUUUUUUUUUUUUUUUUUUGUAUAGUUAACACACUACCGAAUGUGUCUUUAGCUAGCCCUGUCCUGGUGGUAUUUUCAAUAGCCACUAACCUUGCCUGGUACAGUCUGUGGGUUGUAAAUUGGCAUGGAAAUUAAAGCAGGUUCUUGUUGGUGCACAGCACAAAUUAGUUAUAUAUGGGGACAGUAGUUUGGUUUUUGGUUUCUUUCUUUUUUUGUUUUUUGUUUUUGUUUUUUUUUUUCUUUUGGUUUUCUUUUUUUUUUUUUUCCAUCUUCAGUUGUCUCUGAUGCAGCUUAUACGAAGGUAAUUGUUGUUCUGUUAACUGAAUACCACUCUGUAAUUGCAAAAAAAUGGCAGCUGUUUUGUUGACAUUCUGAAUGCUUCUAAGUAAAUACAAUUUUUUUAUUAAGAAAAUUAUUUUCCGAAGAAAAAAAAAUUUUUUUUUUUUGGUUCUUUUUUCGGAGCUGGGGACCGAACCCAGGGCCUUGCACUUCCUAGGUAAGCGCUCUACCACUGAGCUAAAUCCCCAGCCCCAGAAAAAAUUAUUUUAAAAAAUGUAUUACCUGUCUAAACAUAUGUGUGUGUGCACGCAUGGGCGUGUGUGCAUGAGAACAAGCAUCUUAGAGGCAGAAGAGGAUGUCAGGUCCAUUGGAGCUGGAGGAACAGGGGCGUAGGUUGUUAAGAGAUAGGAAGGGGGGCUGGGGAUUUAGCUCAGUGGUAGAGCGCUUACCUAGGAAGUGCAAGGCCCUGGGUUCGGUCCCCAGCUCCGGAAAAAAAAGAACCAAAAAAAAAAAAAAAAGAGAUAGGAAGGAUUGGAGGAUUGGAACAAGGCAGUGUCUCUCCUCCUGGAAGGAAGCAGUCUACUCCCGAUCUCACAUCAGCUGUGAUGGUCAGCAUAAGAUCAAGUUACUCAGUACUCUAGCACGGAGAAGAAGGAGACUUGUAAGCACCACUCCAAACAGGAAUUAUUGACAAUUGAUGGCUUUUGGGGGAGGGGUGUCAGUUUUCUUUAAGGGUGGAGUUCCAUACAUUUAACACACUGCAGUGGAUGGUCUCAUGCCCAUAAGCACAAAUUGAGCUCGAUGGGUCACUAAAAAAAAAAAAAGGGUGGGGUUGGCUGCUGACGGGCAUUUGUAACUCCAGUUUCAGAAGAUUUAACACUCUCUGCUGAGGGCACUACACACA